AUUGAACGCUGGCGGCAGGCCUAACACAUGCAAGUCGAACGAGUGGCGGACGGGUGAGUAAUGUCUGGGAAACUGCCCGAUGGAGGGGGAUAACUACUGGAAACGGUAGCUAAUACCGCAUACCAUCGGAUGUGCCCAGAUGGGAUUAGCGAGUUGGGGGGGUAACGGCUCACCUAGUCGACGAUCCCUAGCUGGUCUGAGAGGAUGACCAGCCAAACUGGAACUGAGACACGGUCCAGUCUCCUACGGUAGGCAGCAGUGGGGAAUAGUGCACAAUGGGCGCAAGCCUGAUGCAGCCAUGCCGCGUGUAUGAAGAAGGCCUUCGGGUUGUAAAGUACUUUCAGCGAGGAGGCGUUACUCGCAGAAGAAGCACCGGCUAACUCCGUGCCAGCAGCCGCGGUAAUUC
This 406-nucleotide ribosomal RNA is filed under the name uncultured bacterium. RNAcentral's name for it is "partial 16S ribosomal RNA". It matches the Rfam family "Bacterial small subunit ribosomal RNA", at positions 30 to 526 of the family's 1533-position model. The record is from RNAcentral.